Molecule: transfer RNA, 73 nt
Filed under: Neotoma lepida (desert woodrat)
Lineage: Eukaryota; Metazoa; Chordata; Mammalia; Rodentia; Cricetidae
Rfam family: tRNA
About the family: Transfer RNA (tRNA) molecules are approximately 80 nucleotides in length. Their secondary structure includes four short double-helical elements and three loops (D, anti-codon, and T loops).
Source: Rfam by way of RNAcentral
GUAGAGAUGGCUCAGUGGUUCAGAGCACUGGAUGCUCUUCCAGAGGACCUGGGUUCGAUUCCCAGUGCCAACA